This 94-nucleotide transfer RNA is filed under the name Gemmata sp. SH-PL17. Its description in RNAcentral is "Selenocysteine transfer RNA". It matches the Rfam family "Selenocysteine transfer RNA". The record is from Rfam by way of RNAcentral. Lineage: Bacteria; Pseudomonadati; Planctomycetota; Planctomycetia; Gemmatales; Gemmataceae.
GGGAGCGUUUGCACAACUGGUGUUGGCCCAGGUCUUCAAAACCUGUGGCGGGUGUGAGCAACGCUCGCUGUCGGUUCGAUUCCGAUACGCUCCC